AUGAGUUAUAUAUUAGAUUUAACGUCCCGAUGCAGCAGCGUUUAUAGUCAAAAAGGUAAUGUUGUGCUAAGAGAGGAUUUAUUAAACAAUAAUACAGUAAAAAUGUGUGCGGAGGAACGGCUCUUCCCACAGCGCGACCGGCGCCGCUCUGCGCUCUGCAGCCGCGGAAGGCUACUUCCGUUCCGCAGAGGGCGACAGGCAGCAGCCAGCCUCGACCGUGGCGGAGGUCCAGACACAAUAGACUGGGUCGAAGUUGGACAACAAAAACACGUCUAUUUGUCGACGAAACAACAUUUAGACGGCUGCUUGUCUAAAUUCCUCCCUGAACUCGGCGGGCCUGACUCGGAUGGAGCUGGAGUUGAUGUGGGGUGGCGGUGGGGGGGCGUUAGCAAAUAGUGCGCUCGUGCAGCGCGGAGGUGGCGGCUAGCUAAUCUUAACGACAUAAUAACCGUUCAACUUGGUGAGUUUUUACGGUUUAUUUCGAUAAAUUUUGGGGGUGCCUCGUAAGGUAGCUAGUUUUGUAGCUAGCUAUUUUUGCGUUAACCGCUGCGGAAAGCGUGAAGUUGCGUAAAAUGAAUAAGAUGUAUAUAUAUUCGUAACUCUCGCGAGAGUGGCGAGGAAAGCUGCGCGAACAAAAAAAAAUACGCGUGAACUGAUGUCGUUCCUUAAACAAUAUGCUUGUUGGAUUACUUUAUUAUCCCAACAAAACUGUUUAAAUUGUUUAAUAUGUACUUACUUCGAAAACUGUGCUCAAAUUAACAUUUUAAACUUGAAAUACAACGAUAACUUGCCAACGAGAGUUGCUGAUGGAGGCACUAAAAAGUGGGAUAAAACUAUCAGGGUUCUAAUCUGUUCCAGGUUUGGCCAUAUCGUUUUUAUCUGUGUAAUCAUAGUUCAUAUUAGGGGAUCAGUCGAUUAUAUCGAUAGUUUUCGGUGCAAUUCCCAACCCACAGUUGGGAAGAACCAGAUUCCCUCAUGGUAACCAUCUCUCGUGAGCGGUUCUGAUCCACUAGGACGGGAGAAAACUACUAGAACUUGUCUUGUAUGAGGAAGGAGACAAUUUCGUUAAACAAAACCCACCUGAGGUCCACCGCCCUGCCUGUUUCCAGCUCUUCCUGCCCUGCCACCUGCUGAUUACCUGGAUCAGGUGUGUUACGUCAGUCAGAAUGUGGAAACACCUGAGUCGGCUGUACACAGGCAGAGCUGUGAGGAAAAAUCCUGAGUGGGUUCUGAUACCCCGCUCAGCCCAGCGUCAGCUGACCCAUGAGCUUCAUCGUAAUGUGGAUGUUUCCCAUUUAACAAUAUCUAAAUCGAUCCGUAAACAUUAAUGACGGACCUUAUUUUACAAUAAGUGACCAGAAAGUUAAGCUAAUAUGCCGGCUGUGUAAAAUGCAAACAGAUUUAGCCUCUGAAGGCGUCGUGACUUUACGGCUCCUCGCAGUUUUAAAAGGAAAGAUGGGAACUGGACAGAAAAGAAUCGUGUUUUUCCUUUAAUUGGCAUCAUGGUUUUAAAAAUGGACACAUAUCCAGUUUUGUUUCUGUUGGUCUAAUCCACUAAGAAGGUUUAUGGUAGAGUUGAUCCCGAAUAACAGAAAUGCUGAUUUUUAGGGAUGGCGUCCAGCUUUACUGUUACAGUCCUCUGUUCUCUCUAUUUAACUGGGAUUUCUGAACCGAAUGAACAAGUUUGAACCCGUGCUUCUUCCU
Long non-coding RNA from Oryzias sinensis (Chinese medaka), 1704 nucleotides. The record is from Ensembl. NCBI's taxonomy places the organism in Eukaryota, Metazoa, Chordata, Actinopteri, Beloniformes, Adrianichthyidae.